GAUGAAGAACGUAGCGAAAUGCGAUACUUGGUGUGAAUUGCAGAAUCCCGUGAACCAUCGAGUCUUUGAACGCAAGUUGCGCCCGAAGCCAUUAGGCCGAGGGCACGCCUGCCUGGGUGUCACACGUCGUUGCCCCCCCAUCUACUCCUUCGGGAUUGCGGGGGGCGGAUGAUGGCCUCCCGUGCGCCUCGUCGCGCGGUUGGCAUAAAUGCCAAGUCCUCGGCGACGCACGCCACGACAAUCGGUGGUUGCGAAACCUCGGUUGCCCGUCGUGUGCGGUCGUCGCGCAUCGAGGGCUCGAAAAAAUUGCCGGGCUCCGGCUCGGCCUUCAACGCGACCCCAGGUCAGGCGGGGUUACCCGCUGAAUUUAAGCAUAUCAAUAAGCGGAGGA
This 391-nucleotide unclassified non-coding RNA is filed under the name soil metagenome. RNAcentral's name for it is "partial contains 5.8S ribosomal RNA, internal transcribed spacer 2, and large subunit ribosomal RNA". The stretch from base 1 to 122 matches the Rfam family "5.8S ribosomal RNA", at positions 35 to 154 of the family's 154-position model. The record is from RNAcentral.